RNAcentral lists this ribosomal RNA (253 nucleotides) under uncultured bacterium. RNAcentral describes it as "partial 16S ribosomal RNA". It matches the Rfam family "Bacterial small subunit ribosomal RNA", at positions 524 to 776 of the family's 1533-position model. The record is from RNAcentral.
UACGUAGGGGCCUAGCGUUGUCCGGAUUUAUUGGGCGUAAAGAGCUCGUAGGCGGCUUGUCGCGUCUGCUGUGAAAACCUAAGGCUCAACCUUGGGCUUGCAGUGGGUACGGGCAGACUAGAGUGCGGUAGGGGUGACUGGAAUUCCUGGUGUAGCGGUGGAAUGCGCAGAUAUCAGGAGGAACACCGAUGGCGAAGGCAGGUCACUGGGCCGCAACUGACGCUGAGGAGCGAAAGCAUGGGGAGCGAACAGG